UAUAUUUUAAUGUAAGAUGCAUAAUAAUGUUUGAAAUUAUAAGAAAAAGUUUAAUUCUUUUAAAUAUAA
RNAcentral lists this transfer RNA (69 nucleotides) under Linepithema humile (Argentine ant). Its description in RNAcentral is "tRNA-Gln". Lineage: Eukaryota; Metazoa; Arthropoda; Insecta; Hymenoptera; Formicidae. The record is from RNAcentral.